RNAcentral lists this unclassified non-coding RNA (343 nucleotides) under soil metagenome. RNAcentral's name for it is "partial contains 5.8S ribosomal RNA, internal transcribed spacer 2, and large subunit ribosomal RNA". The stretch from base 1 to 120 matches the Rfam family "5.8S ribosomal RNA", at positions 35 to 154 of the family's 154-position model. The record is from RNAcentral.
GAUGAAGAACGCAGCGAAAUGCGAUAAGUAAUGUGAAUUGCAGAAUCCAGUGAAUCAUCGAAUCUUUGAACGCACAUUGCGCCCGCCAGCAUUCUGGCGGGCAUGCCUGUUCGAGCGUCAUUUCAACCCUCGACCUCCCUUUGGGGAAGUCGGCGUUGGGGACCGGCAGCACACCGCCGGCCCUGAAAUGGAGUGGCGGCCCGUCCGCGGCGACCUCUGCGUAGUAAACCAACUCGCACCGGAACCCCGACGUGGCCACGCCGUAAAACACCCAACUUCUGAAAGUUGACCUCGAAUCAGGUAGGACUACCCGCUGAACUUAAGCAUAUCAAUAAGCGGAGGA